GCCCGGGUGGCGUAACCUGGUAGCCGCGUCAGUUCGAGGGGCUGAUGCCCGCAAGGGCGUGGGGGUUCAAAUCCCCCCCCGGGCACAA
This 88-nucleotide transfer RNA is filed under the name Chloroflexi bacterium RIFCSPLOWO2_02_FULL_71_16. RNAcentral describes it as "tRNA-Leu". It matches the Rfam family "tRNA". From Rfam's summary of the family: Transfer RNA (tRNA) molecules are approximately 80 nucleotides in length. Their secondary structure includes four short double-helical elements and three loops (D, anti-codon, and T loops). Further hydrogen bonds mediate the characteristic L-shaped molecular structure. tRNAs have two regions of fundamental functional importance: the anti-codon, which is responsible for specific mRNA codon recognition, and the 3' end, to which the tRNAs corresponding amino acid is attached (by aminoacyl-tRNA synthetases). tRNAs cope with the degeneracy of the genetic code in two manners: having more than one tRNA (with a specific anti-codon) for a particular amino acid; and 'wobble' base-pairing, i.e. permitting non-standard base-pairing at the 3rd anti-codon position. Lineage: Bacteria; Bacillati; Chloroflexota. RNAcentral also lists the same sequence under 1 other name. The record is from RNAcentral.